CUCAUCUGUCGUCGUCUCGAAACUUCUCCCUCCUUCUCUUCUCCGGCAGGCGGCAGCUCUUUUCGUCUUCUCGCUGGUGACCUUGGUAAAACACUGGCAAUUGCGGCAGGUCUGUCCAUUUUCUCCUUGUUAGAUUUUGUCAUUUUAAUAUGAGUCAUUCGCAAUUGUGGGGCUUAUAGUUUGUUUGAGCUGAUGUUGUUGCUUCUAACUGUGGUUAUUUGUGCUUUCGUUUAUCUUCCUUAUAUUUAACUGUAUUUUUCACAUUGAUUUUGUCAUUUUUCUAAUUAAUUUCAACAUUUAGGUGGUACUCGACUUUUCUUGGUUUUUUUGGUUCUUUCUUUGUGUAGUUGUGUAUUUAUAGUUGUGAAUAUCUGGUGUCAUUCAAUCGAGUAUUCCCUGGAGUUUACUUUCUAAACAUUUUGUAGGUUCAGACAACGUCGUUUGUUUGAUAUAUAGCUUUGUGGUUAACAGGAAAUUGAUGCCUCAUGAAGGUCCAGUGCCUCUGUUUGGCAACAGUUAUUUGUCAGUUAUGUAGCCUUCCAAUUGAAUGAGCUGUUCCUGUUUGCAUGAUUGUCUGUAAUAAGGUCAAUUCUAAAUGAAAUUUGGGAACAAAUUUUUGUUCUGGGAAUUGAGAUUGAUUCUAUUUGAACAUGCUAUUCAUGCUAGCCGAUGAUUACUUAUGAUCUUAUUAUGGGAACAUACAGUUUUGCUGACGUUUGUUUUGUAAUGAAACUGACUUUUUUGAAUAAGCUAUCAGCCUAUCCCACUUAACGUUCUGUUCCACGGUGAUCCUUAGCAGAUUUUUGGUUUUUUUAAGCAUAAAUAACAAUUCAUGCAAUUUAGUUUCCUGGAUGCAGUUAGUGCUAUUGAUAAGGAGAACUAUGUCCCCACAAGCAUCGAGGUGAUAUUCUUUUGAUAUGCAGUUCUCUGGGAGCUGUUGCAUCUAACACUUCUAGCUAUUUUGGCUUCAAUUAGAAUAUAGUUCUCUAAGUGUGAUCUUUAACAGUGCUCAUGUUGUGUUUAAAAUGUAUUUUCAGGUUUCUGCUCAUGUAAGAGAGGUUCUGGAUACUUUCCGUGUUGCAGCUGAACUCGGGAGUGAGUCAUUUGGAGCAUAUGUGAUUUCUAUGGCCUCCAAUGUGAGCUACUUCAAAAGGAUGCAAGGCUCACUGUCAGUGGGGAGCUAGGCCGAACUUGUGCAGGGGGAACGUUGUGUGACCAUUGUUUGAGACACUAAACGAUCUCCGUAGAGCUGGAUCAGUUAUCAGAAAAUUGUUAUCCAUUGAUUGGUAUCGAGAACAUAUUAUUCAAAAUCACAAUGGUCACCAAGAGGUUGCAUCUUAUGAAUGUACCACACUAACUUGCAUUCUGGGUGUGAUUAUUUUGUUAAGAAAGCUUGCUAACAGCUUAAUCUUUCUCAUAUGACUAAACUGGAGCAGGUUGAAAGAGUGGAGAUUUUGGAGACAUCCCUAUCAAGAACAAAGCGUUCCUCCUGCUGAUGUCCGUAGAGAUGAUGUCUCCCAAGAUGUUUCCGAUGGCGAAUUAUGUAUCAUCUGCCUCAUGGAUGCAUGAGAUUUAUUUAGGGAAUGAAUAUAUGUAGCAGCAUGUUACUAAAGUAAGAUAUUUAG
RNA transcript from Nymphaea colorata (pocket water lily), 1625 nucleotides. It is a transcript of the gene named phosphoenolpyruvate carboxylase 4-like, with no coding region annotated. The transcript has 5 exons. The record is from RefSeq and is a predicted model, not a curated record. Lineage: Eukaryota; Viridiplantae; Streptophyta; Magnoliopsida; Nymphaeales; Nymphaeaceae.